GGCAGACCAUAAUGUGAGUUGGGAGUCUGUAAGUAAGUUUUAGCUUUUGAAUCUGGACUCACAGUAAAAGUACACUCAUCUUUAAUAUGUGGCACAAAAGACAUUUUCAGAUCUUGAUGAUUAGACUCAUUGAGGAAACCUUUACCAAAUGUUUUUAAAGAUAUGGUGAUGUUAUUCCUCAACUGAAUCUUUUCAAUGGCUCCACCAGGGCAGAAUAUACCAACAUUCAUC
RNAcentral lists this long non-coding RNA (231 nucleotides) under Gallus gallus (chicken). Lineage: Eukaryota; Metazoa; Chordata; Aves; Galliformes; Phasianidae. The record is from RNAcentral.